ACGCACGCUGGCGGCGUGCUUAACACAUGCAAGUCGAACGGAAAGGCCCUGCUUUUGUGGGGUGCUCGCGUGGCGAACGGGUGAGUAACACGUGAGUAACCUGCCCUUGACUUUGGGAUAACUUCAGGAAACUGGGGCUAAUACCGGAUAGGAGCUCCUGCUGCAUGGUGGGGGUUGGAAAGUUUCGGCGGUUGGGGAUGGACUCGCGGCUUAUCAGCUUGUUGGUGGGGUAGUGGCUUACCAAGGCUUUGACGGGUAGCCGGCCUGAGAGGGUGACCAGCCACAUUGGGACUGAGAUACGGCCCAGACUCCUACGGGAGGCAGCAGUGGGGAAUAUUGCACAAUGGGCGGAAGCCUGAUGCAGCAACGCCGCGUGCGGGAUGACGGCCUUCGGGUUGUAAACCGCUUUCGCCUGUGACGAAGCGUGAGUGACGGUAAUGGGUAAAGAAGCACCGGCUAACUACGUG
Molecule: ribosomal RNA, 467 nt
Filed under: uncultured bacterium
Lineage: Bacteria
Description: partial 16S ribosomal RNA
Rfam family: Bacterial small subunit ribosomal RNA
Source: RNAcentral